AAAAAUAAUAAACCUUAAUUUUCGUGUCCAACGUUUAACUGUCCGUAUUAUAUAAAAUUUUCUUAUAAUUAGUAUUUUCAUUAUUAUUAGAUGAUAAAACAUGAUUAAUAUUUUAUGCGUGACUUAUCUUUUUAAUUUUUUUCAUAAUUUUUUUCAAAUAAGACGGAUGGUCAAGCGUUGGACACGGAAACAUAGGGUUUGUCUUUUU
Molecule: microRNA precursor, 208 nt
Organism: Oryza sativa Japonica Group (Japanese rice)
Lineage: Eukaryota; Viridiplantae; Streptophyta; Magnoliopsida; Poales; Poaceae
Rfam family: MIR812 microRNA precursor family
Source: Rfam